GCGCCAGUAGCUCAGAUGGAUAGAGCGGCAGCCUUCUAAGCUGUUGGUCGGGGGUUCGAAUCCCUCCUGGCGCGUCA
RNAcentral lists this transfer RNA (77 nucleotides) under Gemmatimonas phototrophica. RNAcentral describes it as "tRNA-Arg". It matches the Rfam family "tRNA". From Rfam's summary of the family: Transfer RNA (tRNA) molecules are approximately 80 nucleotides in length. Their secondary structure includes four short double-helical elements and three loops (D, anti-codon, and T loops). The record is from RNAcentral. Lineage: Bacteria; Pseudomonadati; Gemmatimonadota; Gemmatimonadia; Gemmatimonadales; Gemmatimonadaceae. RNAcentral also lists the same sequence under 1 other name.